GGUUCUGAGGCGAAGCCCGUAA
This 22-nucleotide small nuclear RNA is filed under the name Arabidopsis thaliana (thale cress). Its description in RNAcentral is "snRNA_15344". Lineage: Eukaryota; Viridiplantae; Streptophyta; Magnoliopsida; Brassicales; Brassicaceae. The record is from RNAcentral.